Molecule: long non-coding RNA, 551 nt
Organism: Panicum virgatum (switchgrass)
Lineage: Eukaryota; Viridiplantae; Streptophyta; Magnoliopsida; Poales; Poaceae
Exons: 2
Source: RefSeq, a predicted model, not a curated record
GACCCUUUUGUUUUUUCUAUUGAUUGCUCAGUUCGUGAGGGGAGAUCUGGACCGGAUGAACACUGCACUUAAAUGAAAAUUAGUCAUCAACCAGGGCACAAAUUUAUCCGGAGAUGCCAAACCGUAGAGCUGAACUUUUUUUGGAUGAGAGAUUCAGAGCAAGGGGGAUGGAUCAUGGAUGCAAUGCAAACAGCUGGCCUGAGAAACCUGCCACGCCAGCCUUUGUGGGAGAAGGAAGGCAAUGAGCGGAGCGCACCAGGGGAGCAGAGGCCACGGCACCACUACAGCAGCCCACCACAUGCAAUCCCAUGGCACCAGUAGGUUAAUGGACUUUCGGCAAGUGCGCCAGCCUUUUUCCACUUGCAAGGAACAAAAGGUGGUAAGCGAUGGCUGCAAUCAGGUCACCUAACUGGGGUUCAUCGUGGUUGCGUGCUAAGCCUGGGCGUUGAUGCCGGAAUUAAUCCUUUGGGACACACAGGAGAAAGGACGGGCAUAAUGAGGUGGUUUCUGGGAGGGCUGGUAAUAAUAAUAUUAAUAAUAUAUUAUAUUCA